UACGUAGGGGGCAAGCGUUGUCCGGAAUUAUUGGGCGUAAAGAGCGCGUAGGCGGUCCGAUAAGUCGGCUGUGAAAACUCGAGGCUCAACCUCGAGACGUCGGCGGAAACCAUCUGGCUAGAGUCCGGAAGAGGAGAGUGGAAUUCCUGGUGUAGCGGUGAAAUGCGCAGAUAUCAGGAAGAACACCCGUGGCGAAGGCGGCUCUCUGGGACGGUACUGACGCUGAGACGCGAAAGCGUGGGGAGCGAACAGG
This 253-nucleotide ribosomal RNA is filed under the name uncultured bacterium. RNAcentral's name for it is "partial 16S ribosomal RNA". It matches the Rfam family "Bacterial small subunit ribosomal RNA", at positions 524 to 776 of the family's 1533-position model. The record is from RNAcentral.